UAUGUUCAAGAUUAGCCAUGCAUGUCUCAGUAUAAGCUUCUAUACGGCGAAACUGCGAAUGGCUCAUUAAAACAGUUAUAGUUUAUUUGGUGGUCAGCAAUUACAUGGAUAACCGUGGUAAUUCUAGAGCUAAUACAUGCGCCCAAACCCGACUUCGUGGAAGGGUUGUGUUUAUUAGAUACAGAACCAACCCAGGCUCCGCCUGGCCUUGAGGUGAUUCAUAAUAACCGAACGAAUCGCAUGGCUAUGCCGGCGAUAGACCAUUCAAGUUUCUGACCUAUCAGCUAUCGUCGGUAGGGUAUUGGCCUACCGUGGCAAUGACGGGUAACGGAGAAUUAGGGUUCGAUUCCGGAGAGGGAGCCUGAGAAACGGCUACCACAUCUAAGGAAGGCAGCAGGCGCGCAAAUUACCCAAUCCUGACGCAGGGAGGUAGUGACAAGAAAUAACAAUACAGGGCAUACAUGUCUUGUAAUUGGAAUGAGUAAACUUUAAAUCACUUU
This 500-nucleotide ribosomal RNA is filed under the name uncultured eukaryote. RNAcentral describes it as "SSU rRNA". It matches the Rfam family "Eukaryotic small subunit ribosomal RNA", at positions 33 to 536 of the family's 1831-position model. The record is from RNAcentral.